CUAGUUCCUAUCUCAAGUGAACCCUCAAUGAUCGCAUCACCCCCAUAUUCUCCACCUCCAACACCAGUGGACGUCGUCCCUGUCUCAAAAUCCAAAUCUUUCCGAAAGUGGGUUUAUGUGGCUGUUGGCAUUGGAGGUGGUUUGCUUAUCCUCGUUACGUUCUCUGGUCUUUCAUAUUGGUAUUUUCGUACUCCUCCUCCGUCUCAUCAGAAACCUCAGGAGGCCAAUGUAUCCAAAAUUAAUGAUCUCCCUUUUCCUUAUGAGGGAAUUAAAUAUUCAAUUGAGUCUUUGAUCAUCUACAAAUUUGAGGAUAUCCAAACUGCCACGGGCUAUUUCAAUGAAG
RNAcentral lists this unclassified non-coding RNA (343 nucleotides) under Hevea brasiliensis (rubber tree). Lineage: Eukaryota; Viridiplantae; Streptophyta; Magnoliopsida; Malpighiales; Euphorbiaceae. The record is from RNAcentral.